This 651-nucleotide ribosomal RNA is filed under the name uncultured Alphaproteobacteria bacterium. Its description in RNAcentral is "SSU rRNA". It matches the Rfam family "Bacterial small subunit ribosomal RNA", at positions 246 to 915 of the family's 1533-position model. Lineage: Bacteria; Pseudomonadati; Pseudomonadota; Alphaproteobacteria. The record is from RNAcentral.
UAGUUGGUGAGGUAAAGGCUCACCAAGGCUACGAUCAGUAGCUGGUCUGAGAGGAUGACCAGCCACAUUGGGACUGAGACACGGCCCAAACUCCUACGGGAGGCAGCAGUGGGGAAUCUUGCGCAAUGGGCGAAAGCCUGACGCAGCCAUGCCGCGUGAAUGAUGAAGGUCUUAGGAUUGUAAAAUUCUUUCACCGGGGACGAUAAUGACGGUACCCGGAGAAGAAGCCCCGGCUAACUUCGUGCCAGCAGCCGCGGUAAUACGAAGGGGGCUAGCGUUGCUCGGAAUUACUGGGCGUAAAGGGAGCGUAGGCGGACAUUUAAGUCAGGGGUGAAAUCCCAGAGCUCAACUCUGGAACUGCCUUUGAUACUGGGUGUCUUGAGUGUGAUAGAGGUAUGUGGAACUCCGAGUGUAGAGGUGAAAUUCGUAGAUAUUCGGAAGAACACCAGUGGCGAAGGCGACAUACUGGAUCAUUACUGACGCUGAGGCUCGAAAGCGUGGGGAGCAAACAGGAUUAGAUACCCUGGUAGUCCACGCCGUAAACGAUGAUUGCUAGUUGUCGGGGUGUUUACAUCUCGGUGACGCAGCUAACGCAUUAAGCAAUCCGCCUGGGGAGUACGGUCGCAAGAUUAAAACUCAAAGGAAUUGACG